CCUCCCUGGAGGUCUUAGACUGAGCUUAGGAGGCAAUACCUUGUAUCCAAUAUCAAUUUUUAUCCAUUGGGCCUUGUCAGGUAAUGGUCCAAUUUCUAAUGCAUAGGCAUUCUUAUACUUGGCAACAGUGAAGUACUCCGAGACAUAAUUUUUCAAAUUUGCACCUCUCCUACUACAAAUAAAAGGUGCAGCAUUGAUAAGUGCUGAAUAAUUUAUAAUUUAGUUAUCUUUCCAUAGAACUUAUCAAUGUUCUUAAACCGAUAAAUACAUAUUUUACCACGAAAUUGAAUAAUCAUUUAAAUAAAUUUAAAAUAUGGUAAGAAGUAGAUAAUUCUUUUCUUAAACCAGACUCUGAACUUGUCUCUCUCUUGGUUGCAAUCUUGUUUUAACCCGGUUUGGUAACCUGAUAGAGUUGUAAUCAAGCUAAGAUUAUAAUUAAAUGGGUUUUGGUCCUCAGUAAAUUGAAAGUUAUAAUUAAUUAUUUUUAUAUGGAAAAAAUGUUUGAUUAACCCUUCUUAUUAAGUCACGGUCUUGUUUAUUUUAUCUGGUUGAGUUCAGUCUGAAGCAAUUUAGCGAGAAUUAAAUUUAAAUGACGUUGG
RNAcentral lists this long non-coding RNA (599 nucleotides) under Phoenix dactylifera (date palm). RNAcentral's name for it is "long non-coding RNA (PDAC_LNC010612)". Lineage: Eukaryota; Viridiplantae; Streptophyta; Magnoliopsida; Arecales; Arecaceae. The record is from RNAcentral.